AGCGAACGCUGGCGGCAGGCUUAACACAUGCAAGUCGAGCGGGCACUUUCGGGUGUCAGCGGCGGACGGGUGAGUAACGCGUGGGAACGUGCCCUCUGGUUCGGAAUAACUCAGGGAAACUUGAGCUAAUACCGGAUACGCCCUUUUGGGGAAAGGCUUGCUGCCGGAGGAUCGGCCCGCGUCUGAUUAGCUAGUUGGUGAGGUAACGGCUCACCAAGGCGACGAUCAGUAGCUGGUCUGAGAGGAUGAUCAGCCACACUGGGACUGAGACACGGCCCAGACUCCUACGGGAGGCAGCAGUGGGGAAUAUUGGACAAUGGGCGCAAGCCUGAUCCAGCCAUGCCGCGCGAGUGAUCAAGGCCUUAGGGUUGUAAAGCUCUUUUAUCCGGGACGAUAAUGACGGUACCGGAGGAAUAAGCCCCGGCUAACUUCGUG
RNAcentral lists this ribosomal RNA (435 nucleotides) under uncultured bacterium. RNAcentral's name for it is "partial 16S ribosomal RNA". It matches the Rfam family "Bacterial small subunit ribosomal RNA", at positions 29 to 507 of the family's 1533-position model. The record is from RNAcentral.